UGAUAUUUUUAAAAUUCCAGAAGGCUCAAAAUAAUUUAUUUAACAUAUUAGAUCAGUAGAAAAAGGUUUGGGGUCCAUCGGAUUUAUAAAACUCAUUUUAUAGCCCAAAAGGGCAAAACCGGCAUUAGCCGAAUUAAGCUUAGAACACUAAGUUAUGCUCAGCCUAAAAUUAAAUAAAAAUUUCUAAAAAUCCCAAAAUAUUAUUUUAAUACAGUAGGUACAAAGUUUUGAAUAAAAAUUUGGGUUUAGAUAGGCUAUAUGCAAUUUACGCUAUUUAAUUACUAAAGAAGCUUCUAAUUACGCUAUUGAGCAUAACUCCUAAUCUAGACCUCAAACUGAUGUCAAAUUUUAUGGACAAAUUUAUAAUUCCGUAGUGAAGGUUUCUAUCCUCUCACAUUUUCAAAAAUAUCGUUUUAAGGUCAAAAGGGCAUAACGGUCAACAAUUCGGCAUAUAACGGAAACUUGCAAAUGAAUAGGAUAACUAAGGAUUCAGGUUGUAUAACCUCAGAGGGUUACACUAACCUAUAACAUGAUCCUAAAGGAAUCCUAAGGCAUAUCUAAAUAAGUCUAAUUCGGGUCAGAACUGAAAGUCAAAGCAAAAGUCAACUUUCGCGACUUUCGGCUCCGAACCGGGCCUAUACUUAGAAUUGUCGGGUUGAAUCAUGCUUAGACAUGUUCAACUAAUAUUCACCAAGUUAUUAAUGUGGCAAAACUGAUUUUAUGACUUCUAAUUUAAUAGUUAUGCAUUUUAUUUAAAACUAACCCGUUUGACUUUAAUUUGACCCGACAAUUAAACUAAGUAAACGUGGUAAUUAGGAGGCGUCCUUUUGAGGGUUAAUCACCUACCUAAUUACGGUCACGUAGCCAUGUUCGUUCCGAACCAUGGCUCAACCGAUUAAAAGUCAAAGCGUUUAUCGAAACGUUUGACCUUUCGGCUAUAACCGCUAGAAAUUUAAACUAGGCACGAAAGGGUACUUACAAGAGGUCCUAUGAACUGAAGGAGGUUCUCAAAAAGAGUUCAAGACCCUCACAAAUUAGAGAUCAUAGCAGAUUUGAAGGAAAUGGUGCAAAUGAGAGCCAAAUUCAAUGGGUAUAUAUAGGUUUUUGAGGACCGUUAGGAUCGUUUCUUGAUAAACGUGAUCACAUCUGGACCGUACACCUUUACCCCUUGUUUUAGCAAUCUAUGGGCUGCCCAAGGACUGAAGAAAACCAUUUGCAAUUGAUUAAAACAGCUGUAACAGCUGCUGUAACAGCUGGUAACAGCUGGAAAUCAAGUUUCUAAAAUGGCAGUUUUGGUCCCUGCAUGCUUCUAGCCCCUUUCUGAUGCGUUUGAGGCCCGUUAAACCAUUUUUAAGGCUAUAAAAUGAUGCCUAAGCAUAGGGAAUG
RNAcentral lists this long non-coding RNA (1386 nucleotides) under Helianthus annuus (common sunflower). The record is from RNAcentral. Lineage: Eukaryota; Viridiplantae; Streptophyta; Magnoliopsida; Asterales; Asteraceae.